This 851-nucleotide ribosomal RNA is filed under the name Pseudomonas sp. AKB-2008-HE67. Its description in RNAcentral is "bacterial SSU rRNA". It matches the Rfam family "Bacterial small subunit ribosomal RNA", at positions 20 to 864 of the family's 1533-position model. The record is from RNAcentral. Lineage: Bacteria; Pseudomonadati; Pseudomonadota; Gammaproteobacteria; Pseudomonadales; Pseudomonadaceae.
CUGCUCAGAUUGAACGCUGGCGGCAGGCCUAACACAUGCAAGUCGAGCGGCAGCACGGGUACUUGUACCUGGUGGCGAGCGGCGGACGGGUGAGUAAUGCCUAGGAAUCUGCCUGGUAGUGGGGGAUAACGUCCGGAAACGGGCGCUAAUACCGCAUACGUCCUACGGGAGAAAGUGGGGGAUCUUCGGACCUCACGCUAUCAGAUGAGCCUAGGUCGGAUUAGCUAGUUGGUGAGGUAAUGGCUCACCAAGGCGACGAUCCGUAACUGGUCUGAGAGGAUGAUCAGUCACACUGGAACUGAGACACGGUCCAGACUCCUACGGGAGGCAGCAGUGGGGAAUAUUGGACAAUGGGCGAAAGCCUGAUCCAGCCAUGCCGCGUGUGUGAAGAAGGUCUUCGGAUUGUAAAGCACUUUAAGUUGGGAGGAAGGGCAGUUACCUAAUACGUGAUUGUUUUGACGUUACCGACAGAAUAAGCACCGGCUAACUCUGUGCCAGCAGCCGCGGUAAUACAGAGGGUGCAAGCGUUAAUCGGAAUUACUGGGCGUAAAGCGCGCGUAGGUGGUUUGUUAAGUUGGAUGUGAAAGCCCCGGGCUCAACCUGGGAACUGCAUCCAAAACUGGCAAGCUAGAGUAUGGUAGAGGGUGGUGGAAUUUCCUGUGUAGCGGUGAAAUGCGUAGAUAUAGGAAGGAACACCAGUGGCGAAGGCGACCACCUGGACUGAUACUGACACUGAGGUGCGAAAGCGUGGGGAGCAAACAGGAUUAGAUACCCUGGUAGUCCACGCCGUAAACGAUGUCAACUAGCCGUUGGGAGCCUUGAGCUCUUAGUGGCGCAGCUAACGCAUUAAG